GAGCUCACUUCAACAGCACACGUAUUAAAUUGGAAUGAUACAGAGAAGAUUAGCAUGGCCCCUGCGCAAGGAUGUCACACAAAUUCGUGACGCGUUCCAUUUUUUU
Molecule: small nuclear RNA, 106 nt
Organism: Cavia aperea (Brazilian guinea pig)
Lineage: Eukaryota; Metazoa; Chordata; Mammalia; Rodentia; Caviidae
Source: Ensembl